RNAcentral lists this ribosomal RNA (208 nucleotides) under uncultured bacterium. RNAcentral describes it as "partial 16S ribosomal RNA". It matches the Rfam family "Bacterial small subunit ribosomal RNA", at positions 1290 to 1500 of the family's 1533-position model. The record is from RNAcentral.
AGUUCGGAUUGAAGGCUGAAUUGCCUUCAUGAAGUCGGAAUUGCUAGUAAUGGCAGGUCAGCAUACUGCCGUGAAUACGUUCCCGGGCCUUGUACACACCGCCCGUCACACCAUGAGAGUUGGGAAUACCCGAAGCCUGUGAGCUAACUUUUAGAGGCAGCAGUCGAAGGUAGAAUCAAUGAUUGGGGUGAAGUCGUAACAAGGUAUC